This is a long non-coding RNA of Myotis davidii, 241 nucleotides long. RefSeq lists it as uncharacterized. The transcript has 3 exons. Lineage: Eukaryota; Metazoa; Chordata; Mammalia; Chiroptera; Vespertilionidae. The record is from RefSeq and is a predicted model, not a curated record.
UUUAUUUUAUGUUUUUAUUGCUUUUAGAGAAGGAGAGGGAGAAACAUAGAUGAGAGCCAUCAAUCAGCUUCCCCUGCCCCCCGGAGAUCAAACCUGCAACCGGGCGUGUGCCCUAACUGGAAAUUGAACUGGUGACCUCUCUGUGUAUAGGGUGAUGUUCAACCAACUAAGUUACACUGCCCAGGGCAACACAGAAACUUUUGAAUGGAGUUAAAAGGGAAAAUAACACCAGUUGAGAACC